Molecule: ribosomal RNA, 422 nt
Filed under: uncultured bacterium
Lineage: Bacteria
Description: bacterial SSU rRNA
Rfam family: Bacterial small subunit ribosomal RNA
Source: RNAcentral
UAAGGAAUAUUGGUCAAUGGACGCAAGUCUGAACCAGCCAUGCCGCGUGGAGGAUGAAGGUCCUCUGGAUUGUAAACUUCUUUUAUCUGGGACGAAACACUUCUUUUCUAAGAGGCCUGACGGUACCAGAUGAAUAAGCACCGGCUAACUCCGUGCCAGCAGCCGCGGUAAUACGGAGGGUGCAAGCGUUAUCCGGAUUCACUGGGUUUAAAGGGUGCGUAGGUGGGUAUGUAAGUCAGUGGUGAAAUCCCCGAGCUUAACUUGGGAACUGCCAUUGAUACUAUAUAUCUUGAAUACCGUAGAGGUAAGCGGAAUAUGUCAUGUAGCGGUGAAAUGCUUAGAUAUGACAUGGAACACCAAUUGCGAAGGCAGCUUACUAUGCGGUGAUUGACACUGAGGCACGAAAGCGUGGGUAGCAAACA